CAGCCGCCGCGGGAAUACAGAGGAUGCAAGCGUUAUCCGGAAUGAUUGGGCGUAAAGCGUCUGUAGGUGGCUUUUCAAGUCCGCCGUCAAAUCCCAGGGCUCAACCCUGGACAGGCGGUGGAAACUACCAAGCUGGAGUACGGUAGGAGCAGAGGGAAUUUCCGGUGGAGCGGUGAAAUGCGUUGAGGUCGGAAAGAACACCAACGGCGAAAGCACUCUGCUGGGCCGACACUGACACCGAGGGACGAAAGCUAGGGGAGCAAAUGGGAUUAGAUACCCCCGUAGUCCCUGUCUCUUAUAC
This 301-nucleotide ribosomal RNA is filed under the name uncultured bacterium. RNAcentral describes it as "partial 16S ribosomal RNA". It matches the Rfam family "Bacterial small subunit ribosomal RNA", at positions 509 to 807 of the family's 1533-position model. The record is from RNAcentral.